Molecule: long non-coding RNA, 3767 nt
Organism: Callithrix jacchus (white-tufted-ear marmoset)
Lineage: Eukaryota; Metazoa; Chordata; Mammalia; Primates; Cebidae
Source: Ensembl
AUGUUAUAUUACCGAGAAUGGUUCAGCCUGGUACCUGGAAAUGCAACUGUGUUCCUUAUACCUGAACUACCAUCCACCACCACUUAUGAUAGUGAUGAAGGGAUCAGGGCUCAGCUGGCAACUGUUUUAAUGACGCAGGAGGCUCCCUCUCCAAGAGCUACAUUGGCUUUGCUUGCUGACAAUGGUAAAAACUUGCUUUGUGUCUGUGAGAUCUCAAGAUAUAAUUUAUAAGCUAUGCGAGUACAGACACAACACCAAUAUUUUAUGCUUAAAUAGCACCUUUCUUGUAAGGAUCCCAAGCCCACUUAAUAUGGCAACAAAUAUUAAUCAAUGUAUUAUCGCUAUGUGACACCUGUUUUAUACACCUCUUAUUAUUUCUGUUACACAAAUUUUACAUGAAAGAAAAAAUCAUAGACUGUGAACCUACUUUAUUAUAAUUGGUGACGAGCUGCUCCUGGUAUGAUGAAAAUAAAUUACUUCAGGUGCCAAAGUACAAUAUAAUGCAAUUUUAUUAUCAAACGUUAAUUGAUUAUUAAUUAUCAGCUCACAAAGGGCUGACAGUCUUCUUGUAGUGAAGAGAAAGGAGGCUAGGUUGGACAGUCCCAAAGAAAGGCACAAGGCUGAGCAAGGUGGCAUCACGUCGGCUCAGGUGUUUGUGUUAAAUGAUGCUUGCUAAUGAGGUAGCAAGAUACUGAUAAGAAUUCUGAGCAGAAGAAAUCAUAUCAGAACCCACUGGAAGCCAAUAUGAGACCAAAAAAACACGGCAAUGCUUGCUGAAAAAUGACAGCAGUGGGUGUUCUGUAUUCACGGCGAGCCUUAGAAUAAUGCCACCAACAAUGACAAGGCCGGAAGGAUACGAAGUAUGGUCAUUUUCCAGUGGAAAUCUGCACAAUUAAUGUUGUAACGAGAUAUUUGUAUUGAUGAAAACUUUAUGUUUGACCAAGAGAAGUUUAAAAACACUAAUAGAGCAGUCACUAAAAACAGAGCUUUUGGAUAUUACAAGAAUAAUGAGAAGAAAUCAGUUUUCUACCCAGAUAGUUUUUUUUUCUUUUUAAAUCGGGUGAUAGUUACACUAAAAGCACAGACUUCAGCACUGUGCAAUACAUCCAUGUAACAAAACUGCACGGUACUCCCAAGUGUAUAUACAUAUGUUUUUAAUAAAAAAUAAAAUAAGGGCAAAAAGUAUCUGAUUUCCAGACUCAUGGACAAAUCCCUGGGAGGACCGAGACUUUAUAGGCCGUUUCCACUCCAGGCCAUCAUCCCAUAUUCCAGGUCUACUUUGCCUGUUAGCUAUGGCUUGUGCAUGUUCUUCUUGGCAAAGCAGGCCACAACUGUGCCAGCCCUCUAAAGUGAGAAAGCCGCAGCUGUCCCUCUCAUCUUCUCCUCAACAUCCAAAAUAGAACUGCAGACCUUUCCCCCAACCUUUCCUUUCCUUUCUCCCUAUUUUCAUAUGACCUAAAUAAGAGUUCCAACUUCUGAGAUUUCCUUAGACCACAUGGACCCUCGAUCAACAUGGGUUUGAACUGCACGGAUCCAUUCAUACGUGGGGUUUCUUCCACCUCUGCCAGCCCUGAGAAAACUCUACUCCUCCUUCUCCUCCUCCUGCCUACUCAACAGAAAGACAAGGUCCCUCAUUCCUUUCUUUUCUUUUUUUUUCUUUGAGAGGAAGUCUCACUCUGUUUGUUGCCGAGGCCGGAGGGCAGUGACACAAUCUCCACUCACUGCAAUCUAUGGGUUCAAGCGAUUCUCAUGCCUCAGGCUCCCAAGUAGCUGGGACCACAUGCGCCUGUCACCAAGUCUGGCUAAUUUUUUUGUAUUUUAAUAGCGAUGGAGUUUCAACAUAUUGGCCAGGUUAGUCUCAAAUUCCUGACCUCAAGCAAUUCACCCUCUUCUCCCUCCUUCCCCCCACCCUUCUUCCACCUCAUCUAACAGGAAGACAAGGUCUUUUUUUUUUUGGAGAGAGGGAGUCUCACUCUGUCACCCAGUCUGGAGUGCAGUGAUGCAAUCUCUGCUCACUGCAACCUCUACCUCCCAGGUUCAAGCAAUAUUCCUGUCUCAGCCUCCCAAGUGGCUAGGACUACAGGUGCCUGCCACGAAGCCUUGCUAAUUUUUUGUAUUUUUAGUAGAGAUGGGGUUUCAACAUAUUGGCCAGGCUAGUCUCGAACUCCUGACCUUAAGUGAUCAGUCCACCUCACCCUCCCAAAAUGCUGGGAUUACAGGUGUGAGUCACCGUGCCUGACCUAGAAGACCUAGGAUGAGUCUUUAUGAGAUCAUCUACUUCCACUUAAUGAAAAAUAAAUGUUUUAUUUUCCUUAUGGUUUUAACCUUUUUUUCUCUAGUUUAUUUCAUUGUAAGAAUAUCACAUAUAAUACAUAUGACAUAUAAAAUAUAAGUUAAUCAAUGCUUAUGUUCUUGGUAAGUCAACAGUAGGCUAUUAAUAGUUAAGUUUUGGGGAAGUCAAAUGCUAUAUGUGAAUUUUUGGGUGGGGUUUCGUGCCUCUAACUCCUGCAUUAUUCAAGGGUCAAUGAUAAUUGGUAAUAAUACAAAGCUUAUCCUGAUUUGUUCUCAAUGGCAAUAAUUACUUAAUAAGAAAGUACAUUUUGUAUGAAGCUAUGGGAAAUACAUUUCUUUUUAAAGUCUACAUUGUUGGCUUUUAUAUUCUGAUAUGGAGCAAAACAUGUUUGUGCUUCAUACUUCACUAACUCUUAACUGCAGAUAACGCAUAUAAGUAUCAUACAAAUGAAAGCACAGGAACCGUUAUUACUAGUAAAGAAACCUGAGUGUAACCAGAGAGAAUUAGGACGUAUUGUCUCUGACAUCUCAGUUGGACAUAGGUUCUUAGUGGAGGUACGGCCUUGCUUACCGACAGCAAAACUGAAUCUAAUAGAAAUAGCCAUGAACAUUAAGCUUGUCUUUCACAAUGUACCUACAUUUGAGGUAGGAUAUUUGAUUUUACAUAUUUAAGAUGUAUAACAUGAUGCUUUGAAAUAUAUAUAUUUAUAUAUAUAUGUAUAUUAUAUAUGUCUAUAUAUAUGUGUAUAAUUAUUAUAGUUAAGAAAAUUAGCCUAUGCAUCAUCAUGCUGUACAUUGCAUUUAUUUAUUAUUUUAUUAGACAUUCAUCCUACAUAGCUGCAAGUUUGUACUUUUUGACCUACUUCCUCCCACUUCCAGCCACUCCCCACCCUGCCCCAGUAAUGACUAUUUUUUAGAUGCCACAGAUGAGAUUAUGCAGUAUUUUUCCUUCUGUGUCUUGCUUAUUUUAGUUAACAUUAUGUCCUCUUUUUUUCAUUAUAAACCAGUGUUAAGAUUAUUUCUUGUAAAAUAAAGUUUCCAGAUAAGUAUCUACACUCUUACAUAAAAGUGUAAAAGCAAACAAAAUAAAAAUAGUUUAUUGUUACAUCGCUCAAAGCAAUUUGAAUUUUAACUAAAAGCCUUUUUUAUAUUAAAUUUACUUAUUAAUUAAGAGAUUAAAAAGGGUAAAAAGAUUGGUGUGUUCCAAUUGUUGCUCAAAUUAUACUUUACAUAAGUAAAUAUUUAUUCUUUCUAUUUCUUAUGUGGAGAUUUAUUUUUCUCAUAACAAGUAUUAUUGAAUGACUGGAUAUUUCAGGAAAGAGUUCUGAAAUGAAUUUUUAUUGAUAAAAUUCUAACCUGAGUUUUUCUAUGCCACUGCUACUUGGAUAGGCACAUUUUAAUUUUUUUGCAUGACAGAUUAAUUUGAUAAUUAAUACGGAUUGUUAUUUUUAAAUUCCACAUCUUCAUUUAACAAA